RNAcentral lists this ribosomal RNA (265 nucleotides) under Salmonella enterica subsp. enterica serovar Cerro. RNAcentral describes it as "partial 23S ribosomal RNA". It matches the Rfam family "Bacterial large subunit ribosomal RNA", at positions 1084 to 1348 of the family's 2925-position model. The record is from RNAcentral. Lineage: Bacteria; Pseudomonadati; Pseudomonadota; Gammaproteobacteria; Enterobacterales; Enterobacteriaceae.
CCCAGACAGCCAGGAUGUUGGCUUAGAAGCAGCCAUCAUUUAAAGAAAGCGUAAUAGCUCACUGGUCGAGUCGGCCUGCGCGGAAGAUGUAACGGGGCUAAACCAUGCACCGAAGCUGCGGCAGCGACACUGUGUGUUGUUGGGUAGGGGAGCGUUCUGUAAGCCUGCGAAGGUGUGCUGUGAGGCAUGCUGGAGGUAUCAGAAGUGCGAAUGCUGACAUAAGUAACGAUAAAGCGGGUGAAAAGCCCGCUCGCCGGAAGACCAA